Long non-coding RNA from Dermacentor andersoni, 6967 nucleotides. RefSeq lists it as uncharacterized. The record is from RefSeq and is a predicted model, not a curated record. NCBI's taxonomy places the organism in Eukaryota, Metazoa, Arthropoda, Arachnida, Ixodida, Ixodidae.
GUUCAUCACAUGUGCAUUUGCAACACAUUGGCGGAGGCAAUACGAACUGCAUUUCUCACUAGCUGGACAAAUCGGAAUGGCAAUGCAUCUUGGAGAACAAGACUCGAAUUGUGAAAGUCUGGUGGUUUUCGCCAAGUUUCACAGAACUUUGUUUUAUGUCAAGAUGGGCUAACACCAUGUCACCUGAUGCUGUCACUCUCUGUUCUAUCUGCAUCCCCUCUCGCCUCACACGUAAGCCUCACUGCAGUUUCUGCAGUGCUUCUGAGGGGAGUCACGGAUAAUUGCAGCUGUCAAGUGGCUAAUGUGACAACGGCCAGGGAGCUCCAGAGGGCAUUGUGUACACUCGAUGCGGUGGGGUGAAAACAAGUUUCUCCCAUGUCCUUUCCUCUUUUACUUGUGCCUGUCAUGUAUAUACACACACUGAACACCCUCCCCCCCCGACGUGGUGUGUGCGACAUCAGCAGCAGCCCACAGCAGCUGCUGGAGUGGGAAAGUCAAAGGAAGAGACAAAGAAAGCUUCACUUUAAAAUAAAAUGCGUAGAGGUUUCUAUGCUUACCCAAUGAGGAAACCCGUCCGUCACGUAAGAUGGUGGCUUUCAAGAUAAGGCCCACAUGAGCGAGCGAAUUGUAAGAUCGGGCCUGCGCAGCUGCGCCAUACGCAGCGGCGGCUGGUGUACAGUUGAUAAUGGUUUGCAUUGAGAGGAGGCAGCGUCAUCGACCACAUCUACGUAUGACGUCUACCUAACUUGACACUGUUCAAUUACGUCACGUAGAACAGCACGCAUUGGCCAAUGCUCAUCUUCCACGAAGCAGCAACAUCAUCCAAACGCACCAUGACAUAAAAGGAGUGAACAGUGCUACUACUGGCCUCUGCUUCAUACUCAUGAUGGUCUCAGUUUAACAUUUCAGUGUUGCAACUGCGCUUCUCCAUUUUAUGAUUUUUUCGUGGCAUUUCUCGCAAUUAUAUGAAACACAGCAGCAUAUGACGACAAAACAGUGAUCAGUAGCAAAUGCUUAUGCAUCAUUUAGAUAAAUCCCACAGGAUAUUCUGCAUGUAAUUUUAUCUUUUUCCACUUUCAGUAUGCUUCACCGCUAUGGUAUGCUUGACUGCGUAACAUUGCUAUGUCCAGUGUCUCUGACCCUUUCCCACUGUUGGUAUACUUCAUCACAAUGCUAAGUGCGUGGUUGAAUGUGUAACACUACUGUAUUGGGAUGAAGCUAACUUAUGGGUCUCACAUUAAACAGUUUUAAUUUGGCGUACGCUAUAUGCUAUAGUAUAGCGUAUGCUAAGCAGCGCACAUUUCUUUAGUUUAGUUGGCCUGUGAGAUGUUCGGAUCUCAGAGGCCAUGUGCCGUCAUUGCGGCUAUCUCCCGACUGUAGCUAUAGGUGGUGCUAACAUGUCGAAUGUUUCUUUCAUUAGGCUUCGACUCGUUCGAAAUGAGAAGCGGUCUCAAAAACACCACACGGUUAUCCAGAAUACUCUGUCGUCGAAGCAGCCUGAGACUAAGCGAAAGCCAUUUACACAGUCAUUUGCUAAGAACAAAGUGCAUUUUACAAAAGCAACGCCAAAUUCAAUUCGAAGUGGGCAGCCGGGCCGCCGUCAUGUUUCACGCAAACUCCACAAACCACGCAAAGACGCUAACGCUAAAUCUGAGAAAUAGAGUGCGUACACUAUACGCGAUAGGUCGUUUAGCGCUCUGCGCAUGCGCAGUGAUGACCCACUAUUUUACAGCGUACACUAAACUAAAAGUGUCUAUUAUGCAGCAUGUUUUAGAUGCUUGCUAGUUUUAAAGUCCAAAAGCCAAGAUACAACAGCGUCACACACUAUCAUGUGAGGAAAACGAACCGCUGCAUGCAGCAAGUAGCAUCAGCAUAAGCACUAGAUUACAGUCGAACAGCUCUACAAUGAAGACCACAAUGAAUUUGCCUGUACAACAAAGAAACUUAUGCGUCCCUGGCGGCUGAUUUAUGUUUAUAAAACGAAUGCCACACCAGCGCCGCCACUGCCCUGUGAAGAUUUCACCAGGGUAGGCUGUGCGCUAGUGCUAACAACAGCGUAUUUGAAGAGCGUGCUGAUAUUACUAGUCCUGCUGCCCUGCUCCAGGAUUCACUCAACUCGUAUGCUACUUGUUCUAACGCAUCAACAGCUGACGAAUGCAUGGAAAGGCCAUGAAUGUCAAUGAAGGCGACCAAAAAUUUUGACAGCAAGGGAGGCUUAGUGGCACUAGACAAUCGGGGGCUUUGCUUUGCAUGGCUCCUGCAUUUGGUUGGAGAGCAAGCUGGGAACCUCAAUGGAGCAUAGGGUGGCUACAGUAGAACAUGCUGUCAGGGAUAUUGUGCGGAGAAAAACUAUCAGACUAUCUCGUUAAGUCUUUCUUGAAUUCUUGUUAAAGAUUUUCUUUUGUUGAAAGUGCUUAGCUAUUGUGAACAGUGAGCUGCGCAACCUUUUGCACAACGUGACCUGCGUAACGAAGGAUUUUGAAGGUGCGAGCACUUUGUUAAAAAGGCGUUUGACUACAUAGAUACAUUCAGAGCAGCGCCUUCUACCCUUUAGCCCAUGCAGAAUUUGUAGGUCCUAUGUUUGUAGGUCCUAGGUUCUGCUGAUGUACUGCAGUGAAGCCUUUAAUAUGUGUCCCAAUGUCCGAUGCUGCGGAGUUUAAUAUAUCCAUUUAAUGUCAGAACAAGUUUGAUGUAUGAAGUUUCAUAUACAUGUAAUUCUCUUGGUGAUUCACCACCUGUUAUUUAAGCAAUAAUUCCAUUUAUCAUUGUUUCAUAUAACAAGGUUCAAUUGUAAUGAAUUAUUGCUAUAUGACAUUCUUUCCACUACUAUAACUAAUACUCUCAAGCUUGGAACCUCCCAGCUUCCUCAUACAGUUGGCCAAUGUGACAGCACACCUGACGCAACAAGCCAUGUCGUACACUUACUCUGUGCAUAUUCACAGCCCAUGCAAGCUUGUGCUGAAAGCUUGUUGCUGCUUGCAGAGGUAAACAUUUCACUUGACUGUUGUAAUGAUCUUGCUGACUAUGUGAUGGAAUAAACAGUUACUCCACAAUAAAACAGUAUCAGGCCAUUUUGUAAACAUUAGUUUGAAGUAAAACUGUGCCAUGCAUCGUCGAAAAAGGAAAACAACAUUACAGGGAUGAGCAUAGUUAUCGUGGGCUUGUCUCUAUAGCUUUUAUGUCUUGCUUUGUCCACAUUAUGCUGCACAGUUUUGGUUGAAGCGGUUAUUGGCUGGCAGACGUCUUCCCAACAUGUUACUACGAGUUUUGAUGAAAGCAGUCUUGGCCAACCCCUCUACCCCUGGUUCUCUGGCUUAGGUGGUGGUGCCUCCAGUGGUUCAGAUUUGAAUGGGUGCAAAUUAAUUCUCCCUCUCAGUGAAAUCAUACCAACUUUCCCAGGUUACCUGGCUUCCACAAUUCCUCCUAAGUUGGACUUGUUCAACAGCUUUACCGAGUACUUUAAGUAGGCAGUGUAUUCUAUGUCGUAGGGCAAACAGAAAAUUAGCAUAAGCACUCUUGCUUUCAGGCUACCACAGACUUCGAGUUAAUAGUGCAGUCCAGAUCAACAUGUCCUACCUUGAUCCCUCCAGCCUAUGUGCCAGCCUUCCCUAUGAGCCACUACUUGUGCAGGUGGACAUACCUUCUUUGUUCCAUGCAAAACAUUUUGUUAACUGUUUUCAGGAAAAAGUAGUUCAAGCAUAAAUGGCUAACACAUGCUCUUCAUACCAGGGUGCCAUGGAUAAUGGAGAAGAUAGGGAAGUACAGGCUAGCAUCGCUGUCCAAGAUCCAUCUGGCAGCUUCUCUGUCACAGGUCCAUGUGUCCUAACUGCUGGUCUUCAAUGGGAGUUGACACUAGGAGGUUCCCAGAUAAAAAAAAUUUAUAUCAAGAAUUUUUCACAGCAUUUUCCACGUUACCUCUGUAUGGUUGGAUACACUGACCGGUCGACACCCCUGAGAAGGCUUCCUUGCAAGCUCGUGCAGCAAGACUUGCCUCUUGCCUCUAAGCAGCAAAAGCAAAGAAAGGAGAUGAAAAGUCUGCAGCAGUCAAGGUGGCAUUUUCAAAAAGAGAAUGCUAAACUGAAAUCCGUUCUGAAAAGACAAAACACACAAUAUAUUUUAUUCAGAGAGCAGGUUUUUGUGCUUGAUAUUCUUGGUGCUGCAAAUCAGUUGUUUUUGCAACAACGAAUGGGUAAGCAGACAAGAGAACAAACACCAACAGACUGCUUGCUUAAGCAGAGAUAUUUUGCUCUUACUUUAAACUUUACUCUGAACAGGCAUACAGGUACAUGAGGAAAGUGUUUGAUGCAUGUUUGCCACAUCCUUGAACUUUAGGCAAUUGUACAAUAGCGGUAAUAGAAAAGCAGGAUUUUCCAAGGAGGGUGUAAGUGCGCUUAAGUUGCUCAAAGAAUAGCAAGCAAGACCAUCAAAAUAUGUGGAGCCUUGUAGUUCACAAGAUGUUCAUUAAACAGCAGGUAGUGUGGCAAGAGGGACAUUUUGAAAGCUAUAUGGACAUGAGCAAAGGAGCCACAGGUGACUGCUUGCCACAGGCAAAAGCUGCCUUUGUAAGAAUGGCUGUAUGCAUGAGCCACCGUAAUUGUUCACUGGAGUCUGAUCACAUGACCUAAACUCGCCACUCUGAUGUGUCUGUGUCUGCUCAAUGUUUUUCAAACCAAGCAUAACAAGUACAGCCGCAUACAGGUUGCACAGUGUAUUGCACAUUUUAAAGGAGAGUCAUGCAAGUCAUACAAGUCAUGCAACUACGUCAUACCUGCCUUGUUGAGUAGGUGCGUGGAUCACGUCUAGGGCUCACUGUCAUCUGGUAGAGAAAAACUGCAAAACUCAAAUAUUAAACAGUACCAGGUGGCACAGUUCUUUCCUUCUUUCUAACCAUGCUAUGCAUUUCAUUCAGUGGAAUUACACCAGAAUGGGCUUUUGUGUGAACUGCACAUUAUAUAUCUUUUUACAGGUUUGUCAAAUGGACAGUGUACAGGAACAUACACACAGAUUACCACAUAUAUCUGCUGGGCAAGGCAAACAGCUGAACAUUGGCCUGACAGUGACUUGUUUUUGCCUUGAGAAUGAUUAUGGGUGUGUUGACAAGUUUGGCCGGACUUGUCCUAGGAGCAUUCUUAAUUUUGAUGAUUAAAAUGAAUUUUUUGUGCCUCAUAACCGAGAAAACUUACAUAAUAGUUUUAUGAAAAACAAUAAUGUCUUCACAAAAUAAAGUAGAAAAUAAAGCAGGAGUGCCCAGUCAGUCACAAGUGCUUUUUGCAAAUUUUGCUGAACCUGCAUUUUGUUAGCCCCUAAAGAAAGAAGUGCUGUCGCUAGAGUUUUAAGAAUAUUAACUCAUUACCACAUGAAGAAUAAAAUAAUCACAAAAAGGAAACAUUGAAAAAGAUUGACGAAAGUUCAGAUUUUUGCUUCCACAUGUACAAAGAAGAUGCCUUAAAAUUUUUCCAGCCUGUUGCGAUAAGAGCCAUCAAGUUUGAGGAAAAUACAUUUGCUCUUGUCGGAGCUGAAAAUUCACAAGUGCUCCAUGUUUAGCAUGUUUGAAUUAGUGCUAUGUUAAAUACCUUUUUUCAAAAAGAAAAGCUUUCCUUAAUUUUACAAAAUUACAUGUAUUGACAUAAUUACGCAAUCUGGAAAAACGUGUUCCUAUAUUUGUUUGCUAGUGCAUUUACAAAGCAAGUAGUGUGACUGAAUAAAUGCCACCACUGCUGUGACAUAGUGUUUGUAGGUGCUUGAUGCAGGUUCUUUUCCUUUAAGACACCAGAACACUUCAUGAUGGCUCGACGAUCGCCUAAACAGAAAAUUUAUGAUUGAGAGCUUUUGGAACAUUCCUGGGCAGGGGUCGCAAAACAGUGCAUGGGUGCAGUGAGAGAAGAAUGGUGGGGCAUUGUCACGGGGUUUUAGAGGGCCUGCUCCUGAUAUCAAGCAAUAAAGUGCAUCUCUUGCAUGUGGAGAGCAUCCAAGAACAGUUUACUCUGUUGAAUGCAGAGCUAUCACUUUAUGAAUGAGAGAGAGUGUGCAGUGGAACUUGUGGCACCGAAGUGAAGUAAAAAGACACUAAUGGAAAUGAGAUUUCAUCCUCCCAGUGCCUGUUUAAAGACUUGGCCUUUCUCCACCAGAAGUUCAUCUAUUGGUUUGUGAAAUAAAUUUUUUUUUUUGCAGAACUAAGAUUCUUUUCGUUGUCCUCAACACUAGGGUGGUAAAAUACACUUUUUGAAAUCAAAAUUAAAAAUUGUCGCCAUAUGUGGCUGGCUUAAGUUAUCUGAACACACCCUUAUGCACGACAUAAAUAAGUCACACAGAUAGACAUCUUUAAUGCUGUGCUGCAACAGUAAAAUAGUAGCCUCAGAUGAGACUACACCUUUUAAUUGUUAAUAUCCUCUGAAUACAGGUGCACUUUUCAGCAGCAAUCUGAAAAGUAACGGGAGACAGAGACCAGGACUAUGUGCGCCAGCAUUGAACAGGUGCAGCAGGGUAAAAAAACGUGUUUUUGGAAUAAGGCUUCUGCCUUGAUGCCAUACACUAGGCCAUGCCAUAGGUUUGGGCAAGAAGUGGUGCCUCUCUGCCCAUUUCCUCCCGCGUCGAGAUCCAGCAGGCAGCAUGACAAUGGCGUAAUACACUCGUCUUCUGGUUUCCCUGUCACUCUCGCAAUGCGUACUGCCCUUCCCCAGACUUUAGAGUUAAGGAAAGUAUCUCUCUCUGCGGAAGAGACACUGGCUCCCUGACUUUGGCCAUCACUGGAUUCGAUGAAUACUUGCCACAACCUAUGAGUGACCCAUGCCCAACUAUUGCAAACAAGGCAAGGCUAUUUACUAUGUUUUUAGAAAGUGAACCUUCUCUGUGCAAGUGCUACUUAUUGCUCUCCAGAAUAAAUAAUAUUGUAGCUGGCACCACUGGUUACCCAAUUUGUCAAAACCCAACGUAGCUAUGAUUACCUGCAGUACGGGUUGCGGAGUAC